UAUCCCAAAACUAUAAAACAUACCAAUUGUUCCAACAACAUCGAUGAUAACCAUUCUAUUAUUAAUAAAGUUACUACUGAUGUAAAUUGCAGAAAUAAAGAAAAUACAAUUAAAAAUUAUGUUUAUAAUGUGAAAAGUGAUUUUGAAAUAAAAAAUGAAAUAGAUACUAUCACUGAAGAUAAUGAAGUGACCAAUAGUAACAUUAAAUCUAAACAAAAUAAUAUGUCAGAAGCACAUGAAAAAAAACAACACAAUUUGAUACAUAUAUUGGACGAAUGGGAAGAAUCAAAAAAAUUAAAUAUUUUAAAAAUUAAAAUUAACAGUCAGUCAUUUCUAAACUGUCCAGAACCAAACAAUAAUUUAUAUCCAUUUAAAAAUGCAAAUAAUUAUAAAAAAGAGUAUAAUGAUUUUAAUUCAAAAUUGUAUAUUUUAAAAAAAGUAUCUAGUAUUAUAAAAAACAAAAAUAGCAAUUUCGAUUUAUAUAGCAUAGAUAAGAAUAAAAAAUUUGAUAAAAAAAUUAUAAAUGAAUAUAAAAAGGAUACAUUUAAUAAAAAUAUUUUGAAAGAUAAAAGCAAAAAAAAAGAGGUAUUAGAAGAUACGAAUUUGGAUAAAGUAACACAAUAUAAAUUAGUUUGUGAAGCAAAAAAAAAUGUUAAGCAUGACAGAAGUAUAAGUAAUGAUUGGCUCUUUUUUGAUAAAAAACAUGUCAACAUGAAUGAGAAACAAAAAAAAAAAGUGAAUACAUUUUUAUGUAAUAAUAAGUAUGAUACAUCACAAGAUAAUAUGUUAUUAUUUCAUUCAAAUUUAAUAAAACAACGAUAUAUGGUUGAAGAACAAAAAAUGUAUGACAAUCAUGUAUUAUAUCUCUUAAAUUCUAUUAUUUUUUAUUCUAACAAAAUACAAAAUAUAUUAGACGUUUUUGGUAAAAAGAAUACUACACCAAAUGAGUCUGUCUUAGAAAUUCAGAUUUUUAUGCUUUGUUUAAUUAAUUUGGUUAAAAAAUUAAAAACGGAUAUUCCAUGUUAUGUAACAUUUAAAAAUGUAUUACAUUUAAUAAACGAAAUAAUUGAAGAAAUUAAAAGUAAUAUUUUAAGAAUAACCGAACUAGUAGAAAUUACAAAAUUUGAUUCAGCUAUUAUCAAAUUUUAUUUUAUUGAAAUUAUUAAAAUGUCAAAAUUACUAUAUUCUUUACAUACUAAAAAUAUAAUUGAUAAAAAAAAUUCAUUUAAUUUGGAUGAAGCAUUUCCAGUAUCGUCUUCGUCAUCAUCACCAUCAUCGUCUUCAAUACUACCACCAUCAUCUUCAAUACUUCCACUGUCGUCUUUAGUACUACUACCAUCACAUGUUAUGACACCAAAACAAAUUCAACCAGCAUCAUCAUUAUCUUUAUCAAUAUCUUCCUUAUCAUUUACAUCCUUCCCUUCUUCUUUUUUAUCUACAAAUAAUAUACGAAAAACAGACUUCUCAGUAGAACAGAUAAAUUAUAACCAUAAUACUAAUGAAUGUUCAAAGGAUACAAUAAUAUGUGAUAAAUAUCAUUCAGAUGGGGAAAAAAUCGAAUUGACUGAGAAAGAGAAAACCAAAGUAAAUCAUAAUAAAGAAAGUGACAAAAAUAAAGAAUUUACUAAGCCAAAAAAAAAGAACAAAUAAUUGUAUAUCUUAUAUAAAAACAUAUAAAGAGAACGGGCAUAAUACAAAUAUAGUUAACAAUGAAUCAGAAAAUAAUGAAUUAAAAAAACGAUUGACUUAUGUGAAUGAAAACAAAAAAGAGUUAAUAAAUUUUAAUUCUACAAGUAAUAUAGAUAAUUG
This 1809-nucleotide long non-coding RNA is filed under the name Piliocolobus tephrosceles (Ugandan red Colobus). RNAcentral's name for it is "lncRNA (ENSPTEG00000015663.1)". Lineage: Eukaryota; Metazoa; Chordata; Mammalia; Primates; Cercopithecidae. The record is from RNAcentral.